GCGCCUCUUUCCGUCCCCCUCCGCGGCGCGCGCCCAGUGCUCGCUCUCUUCCGCACUCCGGUUGCUCGAGUGUCCUGCCUGACAACCCCCCUCGUCGCUGCGCAGAUAAUUUCCUCGGCGUUUCAUUGUAAUAUGACGCUCCGGGGGAAGAAAUUGCAAAGCUUUCCGAUAUCGACCCGUCACAUUCAUUGGUUUAGCGCUUAAUGCUUUUAGUUUUAGUUCAGCUUUCUUUAGUCACAGGAGCACGCCAGAAAUGCACAUGCAGCUCGUUCAUUCUCAGCAAACAGGAAAGAGAGAUGCUGCCAGAACUGCUGAGCUGCUGAAUGAGUUUGCUCGCUGAACUGGAAGGAUCAAUACAAUGGAAAAAGGUUUGGAGAAGAACAGCAAAGAGACUUCCGAAUCCAGUGUUCAGAAGCUGUGGAGCUAUAAAAAUUGUCUGAGGAGCAAGGAUUAACUUUGAUGUAUUUCAUGAGUCAAAUACUCUGAUCUUUCGCUGAUGAAAAUGCUGUUUCUGAAGUUACUUCCACUUUUAAAAAUUAUUUAUUGGAGCAGGAAAUCAAAAAGAAAGAGUUGAAAUAAAAUUAAAUAAUGGUGAAGCGAUGAGAUUAAAAAGGCCAACAGCUCACUUGCAGAGCAUUCAAA
This is a long non-coding RNA of Stegostoma tigrinum, 642 nucleotides long. RefSeq lists it as uncharacterized. NCBI's taxonomy places the organism in Eukaryota, Metazoa, Chordata, Chondrichthyes, Orectolobiformes, Stegostomatidae. The record is from RefSeq and is a predicted model, not a curated record. The transcript has 3 exons.